UACAGAGGUCUCAAGCGUUGUUCGGAUUCAUUGGGCGUAAAGGGUGCGUAGGCGGCGCGGUAAGUCGGGUGUGAAAUCUCGGAGUUUAACUCCGAAACUGCAUUCGAUACUGCCGUGCUUGAGGACUGGAGAGGAGACUGGAAUUUACGGUGUAGCGGUGAAAUGCGUAGAUAUCGUAAGGAAGACCAGUGGCGAAGGCGGGUCUCUGGACAGUUCCUGACGCUGAGGCACGAAGGCCAGGGGAGCAAACGGG
This 253-nucleotide ribosomal RNA is filed under the name uncultured bacterium. RNAcentral describes it as "partial 16S ribosomal RNA". It matches the Rfam family "Bacterial small subunit ribosomal RNA", at positions 524 to 776 of the family's 1533-position model. The record is from RNAcentral.